RNAcentral lists this ribosomal RNA (223 nucleotides) under uncultured Glomus. RNAcentral describes it as "partial small subunit ribosomal RNA". The stretch from base 91 to 223 matches the Rfam family "Eukaryotic small subunit ribosomal RNA", at positions 733 to 863 of the family's 1831-position model. The record is from RNAcentral. Lineage: Eukaryota; Fungi; Glomeromycota; Glomeromycetes; Glomerales; Glomeraceae.
GGGUCAAUUUGCUGGUCGAGACCUCUGGUACGUACUGGUAUUAUUGAUUUCUUUCAUUCUGAUAAAUCAUUGAUGUCAUUAAUUUGAUGACUUUGAGGAAUCGGAACUUUUACUUUGAAAAAAUUAGAGUGUUUAAAGCAGGCUUAUUAGGCUUGAAUACAUUAGCAUGGAAUAAUGAAAUAGGACGAUUGAUCCUAUUUUUGUUGGUUUCUAGGAUUGACGU